Oncorhynchus tshawytscha (Chinook salmon) is the source of this 968-nucleotide long non-coding RNA. RefSeq lists it as uncharacterized. NCBI's taxonomy places the organism in Eukaryota, Metazoa, Chordata, Actinopteri, Salmoniformes, Salmonidae. The record is from RefSeq and is a predicted model, not a curated record. The transcript has 3 exons.
UCUGUUUGGGUUGGUUUGCUUUCGCACUGUGGGUGUAAUUGAGCAAUUUGCAUAACACCCCUUGACUUGAGCAACUUAGCUGCAUUGUUUAUAUUGAUUUUAAAACAAUCAAGCUAAUUCAAAACCUGACAGAAGCAGGGGGACUCCAUCCCCUUUUUUGAAACCGAUCGUAUUUUUCUAUUGCGCUCCGAAUUGGAAUGUUUUGAGAAAAAUGUUUGCUAACUCCGCUGCUAAGGAAUGAGAGUGUGUUUUCAUGUUAGCUGCUGUAGCUAGCUAGGGUAAUUGUGCCACUAACUUUGUCAAACAACCAAAAUUAGCCGUGUUCGGUACACCAAUACAGCCCUUGCAUACAUGCAAAGGUGAAUGUGAGAAACGACCUGAAAAGAAGAAUAUCAACCGCAGCCGGUAUGAACCAUUUGUUCUCCCGUGCAUUGCAGAGUUUCUCGGGACAGACCUCUUCAUCUUCACCAACUGGUUUCAGUGAUCAAAAACCCAACGGACACCGGUAGACUGCAGCCAGCUGUGGCAUAUGGGGUUGCUCUGUCCAUCUGCAUAGCCAUCACAACAGCAGCGAGUGGAGGCCACUUACUAACGGUCUGCAUGAGUGCCGUCAACAGGCAGAGCAAGACCCUCAUAGCACCUUUCUGCAUCCGACUGACUGUCACCGUCGGUAUUCUGGGAGGGCUCCUCCCUCCUAGGGGACCCAAGAAUAUGACUCAUCAUGAAGAAGAAACCAGCACUUGUUUGAACUGUGAAACACUGAGGUGUAGUUUAUGCACCGAUGCGUCUGGGAGUAAACAUAUUACCUAUCAACUUGGAUAUGAUACGUUUUCUUAUGGACAAUGCUCUCUGGCAUAAAGGCUGUCAGGAAGAUAUGACACCCAUGUUAUAUUAUAAACUCAGAUUAAAUAGGUAGGUCUACCAUCACAUCUUAAAACACUAUGUAUUGUAACUAACUAUCUCUGUCC